RNAcentral lists this ribosomal RNA (481 nucleotides) under uncultured bacterium. RNAcentral's name for it is "SSU rRNA". It matches the Rfam family "Bacterial small subunit ribosomal RNA", at positions 26 to 518 of the family's 1533-position model. The record is from RNAcentral.
AGAACGAACGCUGGCGGCAUGCCUAACACAUGCAAGUCGAACGCUUCCGGGGCUUCGGUCGCGGAGGAGUGGCGCACGGGUGAGUAGCGCGUGGGAACCUGCCCUGUUGUGGGGGAUAACCGAGGGAAACUUCGGCUAAUGCCGCAUACGCCCCGGGACUUGGUCUUCGGAUUAGGUCUGGGGGGAAAGAUUGAUCGCAGCAGGAGGGGCCCGCGUCGGAUUAGCUGGUUGGUGGGGUAACGGCUCACCAAGGCGAUGAUCCGUAGCUGGUCUGAGAGGAUGAUCAGCCACACUGGGACUGAGACACGGCCCAGACUCCUACGGGAGGCAGCAGUGGGGGAAUAUUGGACAAUGGGGGCAACCCUGAUCCAGCAAUGCCGCGUGAGUGAUGAAGGCCUUAGGGUUGUAAAGCUCUUUCGCCCGCGACGAUGAUGACGGUAGCGGGAGAAGAACGCCCCGGCUAACUCGUGCCAGCAGCCGC